UCUUGCUUAAAUGAGUAUUC
Molecule: small nuclear RNA, 20 nt
Filed under: Arabidopsis thaliana (thale cress)
Lineage: Eukaryota; Viridiplantae; Streptophyta; Magnoliopsida; Brassicales; Brassicaceae
Description: snRNA_01027
Source: RNAcentral